UGGCUCAGGAUGAACGCUGGCGGCGUGCUUAACACAUGCAAGUCGAACGAAGCACCUCUAAUCGAAGAUUGAGAAAGCUUGCUUUGAUUGAUUCACCUUGAGGUGACUGAGUGGCGGACGGGUGAGUAACGCGUGGGUAACCUACCCUAUACAGGGGGAUAACAGUUGGGAACGACUGCUAAUACCGCAUAAGCGCACAGGACCGCAUGGUCUAGUGUGAAAAACUCCGGUGGUAUAGGAUGGACCCGCGUCUGAUUAGCUAGUUGGUGAGGUAACGGCUCACCAAGGCGACGAUCAGUAGCCGACCUGAGAGGGUGACCGGCCACAUUGGGACUGAGACACGGCCCAAACUCCUACGGGAGGCAGCAGUGGGGAAUAUUGCACAAUGGGCGAAAGCCUGAUGCAGCGACGCCGCGUGAACGAAGAAGUAUUUCGGUAUGUAAAGUUCUAUCAGCAGGGAAGAAAAAUGACGGUACCUGACUAAGAAGCUCCGGCUAAAUACGUGCCAGCCGCAGC
This 516-nucleotide ribosomal RNA is filed under the name uncultured bacterium. RNAcentral's name for it is "bacterial SSU rRNA". It matches the Rfam family "Bacterial small subunit ribosomal RNA", at positions 20 to 518 of the family's 1533-position model. The record is from RNAcentral.